RNAcentral lists this ribosomal RNA (1347 nucleotides) under uncultured bacterium. Its description in RNAcentral is "bacterial SSU rRNA". It matches the Rfam family "Bacterial small subunit ribosomal RNA", at positions 28 to 1381 of the family's 1533-position model. The record is from RNAcentral.
GACGAACGCUGGCGGCGUGCUUAACACAUGCAAGUCGAACGAUGAAGCCUAGCUUGCUAGGUGGAUUAGUGGCGAACGGGUGAGUAAUACGUGAGUAACCUACCUUUAACUCUGGGAUAAGCCUGGGAAACUGGGUCUAAUACCGGAUACGACCAAUCUCCGCAUGGGGUGUUGGUGGAAAGCGUUAUGUAGUGGUUAUAGAUGGGCUCACGGCCUAUCAGCUUGUUGGUGAGGUAACAGCUCACCAAGGCGACGACGGGUAGCCGGCCUGAGAGGGUGACCGGCCACACUGGGACUGAGACACGGCCCAGACUCCUACGGGAGGCAGCAGUGGGGAAUAUUGCACAAUGGGCGCAAGCCUGAUGCAGCGACGCCGCGUGAGGGAUGACGGCCUUCGGGUUGUAAACCUCUGUUAGCAGGGAAGAAGAGAGAUUGACGGUACCUGCAGAGAAAGCGCCGGCUAACUACGUGCCAGCAGCCGCGGUAAUACGUAGGGCGCGAGCGUUGUCCGGAAUUAUUGGGCGUAAAGAGCUUGUAGGCGGUUUGUCGCGUCUGCUGUGAAGGCCGGAGCUUAACUCCGUGUAUUGCAGUGGGUACGGGCAGACUAGAGUGCAGUAGGGGAGACUGGAAUUCCUGGUGUAGCGGUGGAAUGCGCAGAUAUCAGGAGGAACACCGAUGGCGAAGGCAGGUCUCUGGGCUGUAACUGACGCUGAGAAGCGAAAGCAUGGGGAGCGAACAGGAUUAGAUACCCUGGUAGUCCAUGCCGUAAACGUUGGGCACUAGGUGUGGGGAACAUUCCACGUUUUCCGCGCCGUAGCUAACGCAUUAAGUGCCCCGCCUGGGGAGUACGGCCGCAAGGCUAAAACUCAAAGAAAUUGACGGGGGCCCGCACAAGCGGCGGAGCAUGCGGAUUAAUUCGAUGCAACGCGAAGAACCUUACCAAGGCUUGACAUAUACUGGACCGCAUCAGAGAUGGUGUUUCCCUUCGGGGCUGGUAUACAGGUGGUGCAUGGUUGUCGUCAGCUCGUGUCGUGAGAUGUUGGGUUAAGUCCCGCAACGAGCGCAACCCUCGUUCUAUGUUGCCAGCACGUUAUGGUGGGGACUCAUAGGAGACUGCCGGGGUCAACUCGGAGGAAGGUGGGGAUGACGUCAAAUCAUCAUGCCCCUUAUGUCUUGGGCUUCACGCAUGCUACAAUGGCCGGUACAGAGGGUUGCGAUACUGUGAGGUGGAGCUAAUCCCUAAAAGCCGGUCUCAGUUCGGAUUGGGGUCUGCAACUCGACCCCAUGAAGUCGGAGUCGCUAGUAAUCGCAGAUCAGCAACGCUGCGGUGAAUACGUUCCCGGGCCU